Zingiber officinale is the source of this 242-nucleotide long non-coding RNA. RefSeq lists it as uncharacterized. The transcript has 3 exons. Lineage: Eukaryota; Viridiplantae; Streptophyta; Magnoliopsida; Zingiberales; Zingiberaceae. The record is from RefSeq and is a predicted model, not a curated record.
CAUGCAUGAUCAAAUAAAAAACUUACGCGGUGAAGAAUUAACGAUGAUGAAAUAUGUUCUUAUCAGACACUUGAACAAGAAUCAUCUCUCAGGUCCAAUUCCACUGAGCCUUUUCAGCUCUAGCAUGAAUGUUAAACAUAUACUGCUUGACAGCAAUAACCUUUCUACGGUUAUUCCAGAAUCAAUUGGACUUCUUCAGAAACUCGAAGUUUUACGGCUAGACCGCAAUAAUUUGAUUGGAC